CCACGUCAGAUCAGACUUUAAGGUGCUUCUGAUGACCUAGAAUAUAGUAAAUGGGCACGCUCCUUCCUACCUGUCUGAUCUACUUAAACCUGAUACUCCAAUCAGGACUCUCCUCUCUCAGAAUACAGGGCUCCUGUCUGUCCACAGAGUUAAAAAGAAGUCAGCAGGCCAAAGGGCCUUUUCUUAUCGAGCCCCUUUCCUCUGGAAUAACCUCCCUAUGGACAUCAGACAGUCUGAAUCUGUGGAGGUCUUUAAAUCCAGACUCAAAACCCAUCGUUUUGACCUAACUUUCUAUUAGUUAGUUAUUCUUUUAUUAUCCGUCUGCUACCAGUCUGUUAACCAGGAGGAAGUGGAACUGAGAGAAGGUCAAAUCCAGAUCUAAGAGGAGACGGAGAGAUUCAGGGAGGAGCUAAGAUGUUACUGAGCUAUAGAAGAGAGAGGAACUUCUAUAUUCAGCAGAGUUCAAUACACAAACCAUCAACAUUACCUUCAUUCAACAUGCUCUCAUUGGACUGUUAUGGACUUUCUCUACUGUUUGUCACUAUUCUAACAGGUGUCAGCUGUGAAGAACUCACUCCAGUCAAUAAUGAAGAGUCCAGUUUAGAAGACAGCACUGUGACUCUGUCCUACUCAUAUUCUGGUGGUGAUUAUUUCUACUGGUAUCGACAAUAUCCAGGAAAACCACCAGAGUUCAUCAUCUCACAUUUAGCAAAAGGAACAAUAAUGAAACAUCAAAUCCCUGGACUGAAGAUUAAAGUGGAUCAGAACCAGAACCAAAUCCAUCUGAACAUCUCCUCUGCUGCAGUGUCACACUCUGCUGUGUACUACUGUGCUGUGAAGCCCACAGUGACAGGAAACACCAAAACUCUGUACAAAAACCUUUGGAGCAAAGACAACACAAUACUCCACAACGUCCACUAGAGGGAGUCACACUCUGUUCCACUUUAAGACGAUAACACAACAAAUGCUCCAACAACUCAACCAACAUCAUCAUCAUCCACUAA
This is a non-coding RNA of Sebastes umbrosus (honeycomb rockfish), 1004 nucleotides long. NCBI's taxonomy places the organism in Eukaryota, Metazoa, Chordata, Actinopteri, Perciformes, Sebastidae. The record is from the annotation of a RefSeq genome assembly.